GAUGAACGCUGGCGGCGUGCCUAAUACAUGCAAGUCGAGCGAACAGACGAGGAGCUUGCUCCUUUGACGUUAGCGGCGGACGGGUGAGUAACACGUGGGUAACCUACCUAUAAGACUGGGAUAACUUCGGGAAACCGGAGCUAAUACCGGAUAAUAUUUCGAACCGCAUGGUUCGAUAGUGAAAGAUGGCUUUGCUAUCACUUAUAGAUGGACCUGCGCCGUAUUAGCUAGUUGGUAAGGUAACGGCUUACCAAGGCAACGAUACGUAGCCGACCUGAGAGGGUGAUCGGCCACACUGGAACUGAGACACGGUCCAGACUCCGACGGGAGGCAGCAGUAGGGAAUCUUCCGCAAUGGGCGAAAGCCUGACGAAGCAACGCCGCGUGAGUGAUGAAGGUCUUCGGAUCGUAAAACUCUGUUAUUAGGGAAGAACAAACGUGUAAGUAACUGUGCACGUCUUGACGGUACCUAAUCAGAAAGCCACGGCUAACUACGUG
Molecule: ribosomal RNA, 497 nt
Filed under: uncultured bacterium
Lineage: Bacteria
Description: partial 16S ribosomal RNA
Rfam family: Bacterial small subunit ribosomal RNA
Source: RNAcentral